Molecule: small RNA, 299 nt
Filed under: Aquabacterium sp. CECT 9606
Lineage: Bacteria; Pseudomonadati; Pseudomonadota; Betaproteobacteria; Burkholderiales; Sphaerotilaceae
Description: 5_ureB_sRNA
Rfam family: 5' ureB small RNA
Source: RNAcentral
CUUCUUCGAUCUGCUGUGGGCAGAUGAAGUGGAUGUGCGUGUCGAUGCCACCAGCGGUCACGAUCAUGCCUUCAGCCGCGAUGACCUCGGUGCCGGGGCCGACGACGAUGUCCACGCCCGGUUGCACGUCGGGGUUGCCGGCCUUGCCGAUCUUGAAGAUGCGUCCGCUGCGCAGGCCGAUGUCGGCCUUGACGAUGCCCCAGUGGUCCAGGAUCAAGGCAUUGGUGAGCACGCAAUCGACCGCGUCCAUGGGGCCGGGGCCGUUGAUGCGCUGGCUCUGGCCCAUGCCGUCGCGGAUG